This 468-nucleotide ribosomal RNA is filed under the name uncultured bacterium. RNAcentral describes it as "partial 16S ribosomal RNA". It matches the Rfam family "Bacterial small subunit ribosomal RNA", at positions 28 to 507 of the family's 1533-position model. The record is from RNAcentral.
GACGAACGCUGGCGGCGUGCUUAACACAUGCAAGUCGAACGGAAAGGCCCUGCUUUUGUGGGGUGCUCGAGUGGCGAACGGGUAAGUAACACGUGAGUAACUUGCCCUUGACUUUGGGAUAACUUCAGGAAACUGGGGCUAAUACCGGAUAGGAGCUCCUGCUGCAUGGUGGGGGUUGGAAAGUUUCGGCGGUUGGGGAUGGACUCGCGGCUUAUCAGCUUGUUGGUGGGGUAGUGGCUUACCAAGGCUUUGACGGGUAGCCGGCCUGAGAGGGUGACCGGCCACAUUGGGACUGAGAUACGGCCCAGACUCCUACGGGAGGCAGCAGUGGGGAAUAUUGCACAAUGGGCGGAAGCCUGAUGCAGCAACGCCGCGUGCGGGAUGACGGCCUUCGGGUUGUAAACCGCUUUCGCCUGUGACGAAGCGUGAGUGACGGUAAUGGGUAAAGAAGCACCGGCUAACUACGUG